GGCCCGGCCCAAUUCACGCAGACCACCCUUCGACUGCCCACUACCCCCGUCGCACCACCACCCGCAUUCGGUCGCCUCCUCCAGCGCUCCACCCAUCAGACAGCCCCAAUAAGGUAGCUCCGCCACCCACACUCUCCCAAUCAGGUCGUUCCACCUCCGGCGCCUUCCAUCAACCCCGAAAACCACCAGAUCCAGAUCGGAUCUGAGCAUGAACACGGCACCGACCCAGACCAGAGCAAACCAAGAACCGCCGACUCUGACCGCGCUGGACUCAGCGACCUCAGGCAGACCCAGUGAUGCAUCAGCCUCCAACAUCGCCUGUGAGAAUAGGACCACCACCCGACAACGAACCCGAUC
Molecule: long non-coding RNA, 357 nt
Filed under: Rosa chinensis
Lineage: Eukaryota; Viridiplantae; Streptophyta; Magnoliopsida; Rosales; Rosaceae
Description: sRNA RchiOBHm_Chr4g0427131
Source: RNAcentral